Molecule: microRNA precursor, 52 nt
Organism: Pan troglodytes (chimpanzee)
Lineage: Eukaryota; Metazoa; Chordata; Mammalia; Primates; Hominidae
Rfam family: mir-1302 microRNA precursor family
Source: Rfam
AUUUAAGUAUAAGUAUGUCCCAUGAAAUAUUCAGGACAUACUUAUACUUUAA